UAGGCUAUAGAUAUAACGGGCUGGACUUAUUUGAACAGCACACAGAAGGUAGUGAUCGACACAAGGAGAUUAGUACCUGGUAAUCAGACGGCAGCCGUUUAUUCAAGAAUUAUUUUUUUCCGGAUUUCGUUCUAAAGGACCAUUUGCAAUCACUACAAGCUGACUGGAGAGAGCUAUCUAUUCUUCGCUGUAACUACCGAAUUGCACCAAGGGGUGAAAUUUCCAAGAAAGUAACAUAAUGGAAACCAAGGCCGUCUUUAUGGUCGCCAUAUUAUGCUGUUGGUGUCUAGUCCGUCAGCAGGUACAUGCAUCGAGACUAGACGAUCUCCGUCAACAGUACAACCUAGACACAGAGAUUGAACGAGAAUCACAGCGGAAAAGGCGUCCGCUGAGCUCGUUAAACAGGAGACCCGAGCAACAUGAUUACCACUUUGGCGGUACUCUCUUCCGUAAAAGGAUGCUUGGAAAUCGCGAGUUGGUGAUUCAAGAUCCUGGUUACUACGCAUUCGAAGACGAGUAAAGAUCUAGACAAACUGAAGUACUUAUUUCCUACCCGACAUGCGACACUGUUCCUUGCAGCCUUGCCGCAUAGACUGACUAUAGAAUCGUGACAUUACAGCUGGCUGAAGAAUUCACUCUGAUGGUAUCAUCCAUAAUCAGAUGAAUUUCUGAAUUCACCAAAGAAUGAUAUGUGUUACGUGGACAUUAAUUCUCAAAGUGUUCCGUGUUGUUUAUUUCAUUUUUAAGAGUCGCGCUAAAAUCACUAUGCCUUAAUCCAAAAUUGCGCAAUUUUUCUCCUGGAUUUAUUUCAGUGCUGUCUCCUUGCUGUAUAUAGGCCAACUGGUUCCGACGAUACAAAACACAACGAAGACAAGCAGUGAGCUUUUUUUUUGCGAACAUAUUGAACGCAACUGCUUUAAUGAACCUUGAUAGAUGUAGGACAAAAAUUAUUGAUGGCUAUGACUGCGGCUUGUUGACACGCCAUAUCGCAGCGCACUAAGACGUAGUCGUCAUUUCGUUCUAUGAGACAUUAUUCUUAUUUAGAUAACCUAGAAUACGCCCCAAGUGCAAUGAGUUGGCCGAAAUAUUCCAUGUAGUAGCUAAGAUGCGUAGAGGUUUGGAAUGAUCUGAUGUAGAGAAAGGCUCCUUCGUAGAGUCCUGAGUACCCCUUCUUUUGGACACAAAUUAUUGACGUUAAAAGAGGCGGUUUAUUGGAGUGGGUCUCUUUGUUACUGCUCCUAAAGUAAGCAUCCUGGGUUCAAGAAACCCGACUACCUUCCUCUUGCCCUGUUUCAGUUGAAACUCGUGUUGCUUAUGAAGUUAGCCGAUUUCGUGUUUAGAAAAUGAUUUCUGCAUCCAUUCCCGGUUGAACAAGUAUUUCAUACCGUCUUUUAUUCAUUCAAUACUUUAUUGCCCAGUACUGUUCUUUUUAAGGUGACACGAAGAGAUAUGCGAGAACUGACUGGGCUUGAAGAUGAAAUAUCGCUUAGCACUAUCUGACGACAAUAUGAAAGUCAACAAACUCUGCUAAUGAAGUUAGUGAAACCCUCUCUGCAAGUGCACUGUUAAUGAUGAUUAUUAUGGAAGUACAUGGGGCGGUACUUGAGUAGAAACAAUGCCGGGCCCUCUACUUAAGAGAUUGGCGUUUGACUGAUUUAAUGAUUUCCAACAGAACAGCAAAUACUUACCCCCCCCGUGACUGCCUUUGAGCGCAGUCAGCUUUCAAGAUUAUUUCACGUUCAUUUUACUUGUCAUUAAGUCGAUGCCAAAAUAACUAUGUGAGAGCUUCACAGCUAGACACACGUCAAUAAAUGUCUCCAUUUGAUAAUGAAAUACAAAAAAGGAAUUGAAAAUGGGCAUUUUGUCUUUUUUGGCUUCAUGCAAUUAAACGUGAACAAAACGCUUGAAUUAGUCUAUAACUUUAUAAGAAUGAACAAUUCUAAAUCUGUUCAAAUGCAGAAAUGGUACAUCAAGCACAGUUAAUGGAAGAAACAUAAAAUCAACUACAAGGUAACUUCUCGAAUAGUUUACUAAAUUUCUU
This 2041-nucleotide long non-coding RNA is filed under the name Acanthaster planci (crown-of-thorns starfish). RNAcentral's name for it is "uncharacterized LOC110985379". The record is from RNAcentral. Lineage: Eukaryota; Metazoa; Echinodermata; Asteroidea; Valvatida; Acanthasteridae.